This is a non-coding RNA of Schistosoma curassoni, 48 nucleotides long. The record is from Rfam. Lineage: Eukaryota; Metazoa; Platyhelminthes; Trematoda; Strigeidida; Schistosomatidae.
AUCCAGGUGACGAGUCCAAAAUGGGGCGAAACGCGCGUCAAACUGGAU